This is a long non-coding RNA of Haliotis rubra (blacklip abalone), 1194 nucleotides long. RefSeq lists it as uncharacterized. NCBI's taxonomy places the organism in Eukaryota, Metazoa, Mollusca, Gastropoda, Lepetellida, Haliotidae. The transcript has 4 exons. The record is from RefSeq and is a predicted model, not a curated record.
ACCGUUCGCGUUUAUUCAAAACAUACUGUACGCCUGAGAUACUGCAGUUGGUGUACAGGACGUCCUGUCAGAACACGAUAUAUUACAGUCAACCCUUAAGAGUCUAGUCAUGGCCAGUGUUGUGGUGGACAUUGAAUAUUGCGGCGGAUGAGGCUACGCCCCUCGGUACGGCAAGCUGAAGGGCUACCUCGCUUCCAAGACCGAGGUCGACGUUAGUGGCAAGGUGGGCCGCAGGGGUUCCUUUGAAGUGACCGUGAAUGGCAAAUUGGUCUUCUCCAAGCUGAAGGUGGGGUCCUUCCCUUUUAACGAGGACAUUUUGGAGGCUGUCAACCAAGCCAAGCAGGGCCUGCCUCCCAAAACCAUCAAAGAAGGUCAAGGUCAGACUUGUGUCAUUCUCUAGACGAAUGUGACAUUCAGAACACACCGGUCGUCAAAGAAACUCUGUGUCUACGCCCGAGCUGCUGCCCGAAUGAUGGCCUAUGCAGAAAUCUCCUUGCACUGGCUUAAUGUGCCGCGGAGUUCGGACCGAGGCGCCGAUUCCUAUUUGUCGAUCGUAUCGCAAAGGACAUGAAUUGAUAUUAUUUAUUAAUCUGUUUCUAUAUAGAUGAUACUCAACCAGCCAUUGAUAUUAAUUCUCUAUUUUUAGCAUAUUUCAUUUAUGGAGGUAAAGCUACGAUUGCACAGUGUUCAGUGGGUGAAAUAAUACGGGUAAAUACUUCUGUUUAUUUUUUUAAGUCGAAAGCAAUCUCGUUAAAAUGAUAUCUUUCAAUCCGUUACAAUAGCUCUCUGAGGGUAGAUCUGACUAAAUCUCCAUAGGAGGUCACACAAGGUGAAAGUUCUUAUUUCUUAUUAGCACAAGGGGGGGCGGUGGGGUAGCCUAGUGGUUAAAGCGUUGGCUCGUCACGCUGAAGAACCGGGUUCGAAUCCCCACAUGGGUAAAAUGUGUGAAGCCCAUUUCUGGUGUCCCAAGCCGUGAUGUUGCUGGAAUAUUGCUAAAAGCGGCGUAAAACCAAAACUCAGUCAGUAUUAGCACAAGGACUUUUCAGAGCAGAGCCAGAAUUCCGAUCUGGGUUUCAUCAGCACCAACUAAAAUGGUCAGUUGCGAAUGCAUAUGAUAAAGGUCAACACGCUGUUUAUCACCAACAUUAGAUAUGUAUUCAAUACCACUGAACAAAAUAAAUGUGUAAUCUCUAU